GAACGCGAAGAACCUUACCAGGUCUUGACAUCCCUCUGACCGCUCUAGAGAUAGAGUUUUCCUUCGGGACAGAGGUGACAGGUGGUGCAUGGUUGUCGUCAGCUCGUGUCGUGAGAUGUUGGGUUAAGUCCCGCAACGAGCGCAACCCCUAUUGUUAGUUGCCAUCAUUCAGUUGGGCACUCUAGCGAGACUGCCGGUAAUAAACCGGAGGAAGGUGGGGAUGACGUCAAAUCAUCAUGCCCCUUAUGACCUGGGCUACACACGUGCUACAAUGGCUGGUACAACGAGUCGCAAGUCGGUGACGGCAAGCUAAUCUCUUAAAGCCAGUCUCGGUUCGGAUUGUAGGCUGCAACUCGCCUACAUGAAGUCGGAAUCGCUAGUAAUCGCGGAUCAGCACGCCGCGGUGAAUACGUUCCCGGGUCUUGUACACACC
Molecule: ribosomal RNA, 433 nt
Filed under: uncultured bacterium
Lineage: Bacteria
Description: bacterial SSU rRNA
Rfam family: Bacterial small subunit ribosomal RNA
Source: RNAcentral